AGUGAGGAAUAUUGCACAAUGGGCGAAAGCCUGAUGCAGCAACGCCGCGUGGAGGAUGACGCAUUUCGGUGUGUAAACUCCUUUUAUAAGGGAAGAAAAUGACGGUACCUUAUGAAUAAGUUCCGGCUAACUCCGUGCCAGCAGCCGCGGUAAUACGGAGGGAACAAGCGUUAUUCGGAAUCACUGGGCGUAAAGGACGCGUAGGCGGGUUAUUAAGUCGGGUGUGAAAUCCAAUGGCUCAACCAUUGAACUGCAUUCGAAACUGAUAACCUAGAGUAUGGAAGGGGCAGGUGGAAUUAGUGGUGUAGGGGUAAAAUCCGUAGAUAUCACUAGGAAUACCGAAAGCGAAGGCGACCUGCUGGGACAUUACUGACGCUGAGGCGUGAAAGCGUGGGGAGCAAACAGGAUUAGAUACCCUGGUAGUCCACGCCCUAAACGAUGAAUGCUAGUCGUCGGGACUCUUGUAGUUUCGGUGAUGCACUUAACAGAUUAAGCAUUCCGCCUGGGGAGUACGGUCGCAAGAUUAAAACUCAAAGGAAUAGACGGGGACCCGCACAAGUGGUGGAGCAUGUGGUUUAAUUCGAAGAUACGCGAAGAACCUUACCUAGCCUUGACAUUGAUUGAACGGACCAGAGAUGGACCGGUGCCUUUCGGGGAACAUGAAAACAGGUGCUGCACGGCUGUCGUCAGCUCGUGUCGUGAGAUGUUGGGUUAAGUCCCGCAACGAGCGCAACCCUCGUCGUUAGUUGCUAACAGGUUAAGCUGAGCACUCUAGCGAGACUGCCUUCGCAAGGAGGAGGAAGGUGAGGACGACGUCAAGUCAUCAUGGCCCUUAUGGCUAGGGCUACACACGUGCUACAAUGGGGCGUACAGAGAGUUGCGAUACCGCGAGGUGGAGCCAAUCUCAUAAAGCGUCUCUCAGUUCGGAUUGUUCUCUGCAACUCGAGAACAUGAAGCUGGAAUCACUAGUAAUCGUAGAUCAGCAAUGCUACGGUGAAUACGU
RNAcentral lists this ribosomal RNA (1003 nucleotides) under uncultured bacterium. Its description in RNAcentral is "bacterial SSU rRNA". It matches the Rfam family "Bacterial small subunit ribosomal RNA", at positions 353 to 1371 of the family's 1533-position model. The record is from RNAcentral.